This 69-nucleotide transfer RNA is filed under the name Psammoperca waigiensis. RNAcentral describes it as "tRNA-His". It matches the Rfam family "tRNA". Rfam says of the family: Transfer RNA (tRNA) molecules are approximately 80 nucleotides in length. Their secondary structure includes four short double-helical elements and three loops (D, anti-codon, and T loops). Further hydrogen bonds mediate the characteristic L-shaped molecular structure. tRNAs have two regions of fundamental functional importance: the anti-codon, which is responsible for specific mRNA codon recognition, and the 3' end, to which the tRNAs corresponding amino acid is attached (by aminoacyl-tRNA synthetases). tRNAs cope with the degeneracy of the genetic code in two manners: having more than one tRNA (with a specific anti-codon) for a particular amino acid; and 'wobble' base-pairing, i.e. permitting non-standard base-pairing at the 3rd anti-codon position. The record is from RNAcentral. Lineage: Eukaryota; Metazoa; Chordata; Actinopteri; Centropomidae.
GUAGACAUAGUUUAACAAAAACAUCAGAUUGUGAUUCCGAAAACAGAGGUUAAAACCCCCUUGUCCACC